Molecule: ribosomal RNA, 484 nt
Filed under: uncultured bacterium
Lineage: Bacteria
Description: partial 16S ribosomal RNA
Rfam family: Bacterial small subunit ribosomal RNA
Source: RNAcentral
AUUGAACGCUGGCGGCAGGCCUAACACAUGCAAGUCGAGCGGAUGAAGGGAGCUUGCUCCUGGAUUCAGCGGCGGACGGGUGAGUAAUGCCUAGGAAUCUGCCUGGUAGUGGGGGAUAACGUCCGGAAACGGGCGCUAAUACCGCAUACGUCCUGAGGGAGAAAGUGGGGGAUCUUCGGAACUCACGCUAGCAGAUGAGCCUAGGUCGGAUUAGCUAGUUGGUGGGGUAAAGGCCUACCAAGGCGACGAUCCGUAACUGGUCUGAGAGGAUGAUCAGUCACACUGGAACUGAGACACGGUCCAGACUCCUACGGGAGGCAGCAGUGGGGAAUAUUGGACAAUGGGCGAAAGCCUGAUCCAGCCAUGCCGCGUGUGUGAAGAAGGUCUUCGGAUUGUAAAGCACUUUAAGUUGGGAGGAAGGGCAGUAAGUUAAUACCUUGCUGUUUUGACGUUACCAACAGAAUAAGCACCGGCUAACUUCGUG